AAACUACUCCCUCCGUCCUAAAAUUCUUGUCUUAGAUUUGUUUAGAAAUGGAUGUAUCAAAAUAUUAAAACAUGACUAGAUACAUUCAUAUCUAGACAAACCUAAGACAAGAAUUUUGGGACGGAGGGAGUAUAAG
Hordeum vulgare subsp. vulgare (domesticated barley) is the source of this 136-nucleotide non-coding RNA. NCBI's taxonomy places the organism in Eukaryota, Viridiplantae, Streptophyta, Magnoliopsida, Poales, Poaceae. The record is from Rfam.